Coturnix japonica (Japanese quail) is the source of this 4028-nucleotide non-coding RNA. Lineage: Eukaryota; Metazoa; Chordata; Aves; Galliformes; Phasianidae. The record is from RefSeq and is a predicted model, not a curated record.
ACACCGCAUUAUUUACCAAAUUCAUACUCUGCUUUCUGUGCCUAAAGUUAUGUGUGAUGAUCUCAUUUAUGAGUCACUUCAGAACUCGUGGAAGAUAAAAGCAUCACCAAAACCUUACUGCACUUUUUUUCUUCUCUGUUUUGUCUUUGCGAGCCCAGAUUCCUGAAAGCGAGGCGUGAAGGUUUCAUCCCAAAGUGCCAAAGAACCUUUUCUUUUUAUCCCACCACCCUUUCCACCAGGAGGACCCUCCUGCAGCCAGCAGGGAAGCAGGGCCUGGCACCUGAGCCACGAUGAAAACCCAUCCCAUACACAGCCUUCGGCGAGGCAGAGGCAGUGAGCAGCUCGGGGAGGGCAGCAGGCUCAAACAAGCCUGCCGCCUGCUCAGUGAUUCAGCCAGAAAGCAGAUGUUCUGUACGAGGCAAACUGCUAACGUCUUAUUCAGCAAAGAUGACUACUGCGCAACAAGGCAGACCUUCCGUGUCUGGAAAAUGCAGUGUCUGAACACAACAGGCACAGCAGCCCGAUGCUCAGGAGGAGCCCAGCUCCAGCUGUCCUGCUGCCAGCUCCCAGGAUUCCAGCUGUUUAGCGAAGCUGGAAACCCACUCCAUCUAUUGCAGUUUCUGCUGCACUUUCUGGCCUCUGAAGGCCGGACCACCCCGGCAACCCCUGCCAUUCUCAUGCUGCUUUUUGUCGCUUAUGAGUUAACACAUGUUGAUACUGACAGCCCGGCUAUAAAAGCUGACUUUGGGAUGAAGGGCACAUGGCCCAUGUACCCGGCUGAGUAACAUCUGCGUGCGAUAAUGACGCCAGUUAUUAUAUUUAUGACUGCAUUUCCCUGGGAGACUGGAAAUACGACAUUCCACGUAAAGGCAACACAAUUAAUUUCGGGAGGUGGACAAAACAAAGGCAGCACAUUCUGGGUUAUGACAACUGAGGGCACACACCAGGAGGGCACCAACUGAAAGCAAUCUGAUCACAUAAAGCAAAGCAGCAAAUUCAUGGUGGAUCCUAACAGAGCAAACCCAGUGCUUUAACUAUAAGCUGUAAGAAAAACGGACACAAAACACUGCAAAACUUGCUUCAGUUUCCAACUGGUCACCAGAAGAUAAGUGCUGAAACAUCAGAUCUCCCUAAGCAAUACUUGCAGCUGGCUGCCUCUUCCAGAAGGCACAGUACCAAAUGCCAGAGCACUUUACAAAGGUGAUAACACAGAGCCCUAUUGCCUUUCCUUCUUACUUUCUGAUACUGCUGAAGAUUAGGCCACUGAAAGUAAAAGUAUGAAACCAAAGCUGCUGUAAACAAGAGGCCUGUCCAGCUAUACAAGAAGUAACCCCUUCUGUGAUUAACCUUGCCUUCGAGCCAAGGGUUCCUAAUGAGGCACCUGGGAGAGGAGCUGCUCGGCACCUACCUGAAUGCUUCAAUGAGGAGCUCCACACUCAGGCUGCUUUGCUGCACUCCAUCUCAACACAGACUGCCAGUCUCCCAUCGCUUGUGCUCCUUCCUUAACCAUAAACCUGAAAACAAGCUUUAUUCUAAAGCCCUCGCAUUUCAGUGCUUAUUGGACUGCCUGGAAUUUAAUCUGCUGUUUUAUUUACAUCUCUGAUGCUUUCUCACCUUCGUUUGAUGCUUCCACUACAUUCACCCUCCUUUCCACACCCUUUCUUCCCCACAAACACGCGAGCUGCCUGCUUCAUGGUCACAGGAACGCGAAGCUUAUGCAGAUGGUUCUGUUUUACCAGUUAAAUCAAUUUGCUUCUUUGCAGAAUACAACACACAGACUUCUCUGGGAUCUUCAUUGCCUGCAGCACGCGUGUAUUUUCUUUGUGUGCUUUGUUUUUCCUGUUGCAUCUAACAAUCACUCUCUAGGAAGUUAAAUACCCCGACCUCCACCCCCAUCUCACCUACGCUUUGAAUUGGGCAACUACCUACAACUUCAUCCCUUAAAACGCAUUAGACAUUUGUGAGUAAGGCUUUCUCCAAAGAAAGGGGGAAUCCAUUACUAUGCUUUAAGGAGAAAGGAUCUAAUGUAUAAUAACCUUCUCCUGCACUUGAAGCAAAAAGCCACAAGCCAAAUCAAAGGAGGAGAUUUGAUGUUGAGAUUGAGGCUCAUCUAAAUAUCUGGUGCAACACACACUUUCCUAAGAGCUGGGUUUUUGAGGACAAGAGGUAAAGAUGCAAUGUCAUAUGAACACCAGGCACUCCUAUCCCAUCACACACCACCGUGUCUACCUGAGAAGUCCUUGUUUAUGGAAAGAAAACAGCACCAGGGUUUACAGAAUAUGAAAUAAGCAUGUAACAUGCAGAAGCUUGUCCCAGGUACAAGCCUUGUACACUUGGAACAGCCAAUGAAAGCAUCCCUUGAUAGCAGCAGGCAGCAGCCGGGCAUUUCACCCUGCCCAGCACACAAGAGCACAAACUUCCCUUCACAAGUGCAGGAAACAAGAAAUACGUGGCAGUGCACACCAAAGAGUUAAAAAUACAGCAGCGGGUGCUUCGUGAACAACAGGUACUUUAUUCUGGUCACCUACUAAUAAGCCGAGGACUCUACAGUUUCAUGAACAGGUCAAUUCAGGCAGUCACUGUGCUUCGGGAAGUACAGAACUAUCAUUGCUUAUGAAACCAUUAAUUACAAGUGCUAACUGACGUUACUGGGAUCUCCAUUCAGCUGGCACUCACGUAUGCACAAUAAUCCUCAACUUGUUCCAUCAGGCAUCUCUGACCCUCAUGGCUUUUUGGAGCAGAGGAAGGUCCUUUAGCCACCACAUUCCUUCUAGAACUCCUUCACCUUUUGCAGCUCUCAUUCCUCACACCAGGUGGUUGGGUUUGUUUCUCAGCUCUUACUUCCCUCAUUUUCUUUUGGGAAGAAACUUCAAAAGAAGCCUGUUUUUUCAACAGAGAAACUUCCUUUUGGUUGCAACCACAGGUCCCUCUCUCCAUUCCAUUUCAGUGAGGUUUUAUGCCAGUACAGCUCCGUUAUUUAAAUGAAUUACAUAUGCAUCAUGCUUGUGUACAAAAGUAGACACAGCAAGGAAGGUAAGAGAGGUGUGGUUUUCCAGCAAGGCUGUAUUCCAACUAAUUCCACAAAAGACUGACCUGAUAUUUCCUUGCUCCAUCCUCAGCUGAAGAACCCCCCUUCCUUUUUCCCCCCUGCACAAGCACUGGUGCUGUUCUGACUUCAUGAGCUUCUUCAGGCAGCAAACUUCAUUGGGAAAGGCAAUAAAUGUGACCACUGACAUCCCCUAUCAGCAGAGCACAUUCUACAUCUGCUUAGCAGUAUUGUAAAAGAGCAGUUCAGGCAUGAAGAGUUUCAGCUUGCAACUUAGAAGUUUUGUUUUGGAGGAGCCAUGUGCACGAUCUGCUUUCUUUUACUGGAGAACUGCCAAAGAACUCUGGCCUUCAAGCACCAAGGACAAACCUCAGUGCUGUCCCUCAAAGGCACGGCACACAGCUGGCAUUGCUGCUGCAGGGUAACUACUGUCCUGUACACCAUAUAGUGCCACCCAAACCCAGGGCUCCUCUGGAGUCUCCAAAAGCCAAAGGACUGGACUAGACACCUCUAGGACCUUAUGACAGCGACAUGAGUCUCCCUGGGCUGACUUGUGUGCUGUCACCUGGUGCCAACAUACUGUUGACACAGCAGAGACUUCUCACAAAACGUACUACCUACCCUUGGGCUGGAAUACUGUUUUCUAAGGAGCCUUUACACAGUUCUGGUCCUUGGCCGUAAAACAGGAGCAGAAAACGAAUAGCAUUACUCAUUUGUAGGUCUGGUAAGCAACAGGAAAGUACUCAUUUUGGAUCCCAAGUGCUUAGUGGGACCACAGAUCAGCAGAAGGGCUGGCAGUGUGCUUCCAGGCCCAGCAUACAGCCCCUAGUAUGCCCAGGAGGACAAUUCUCCUGUGCCAUCUCCCCACUGGCACCACUCUUUGCUGCCUGAAGCUGAAAGUGAGGGUAAUAGCAGAGGAAUGGGGAUGUCAGGAGAGCACAGCCCAGCAUGAGCAGCCUGGAGAAGAGGAGGGAAGCUAAGA